This 2520-nucleotide ribosomal RNA is filed under the name marine sediment metagenome. RNAcentral describes it as "bacterial LSU rRNA". It matches the Rfam family "Bacterial large subunit ribosomal RNA", at positions 14 to 2356 of the family's 2925-position model. The record is from RNAcentral.
AGGGCAAACGGUGAAUGCCUUGGCAUCAGUAGGCGAUGAAAGACGUGGUAAGCUGCGAUAAGCCUCGGGUAGGAGCAAACAUCCGUUAAUCCGAGGAUUUCUGAAUGGGGAAACCCGGCUGGAGUAAUGUCCAGUCACUGGAGUUUGAAUAAAAUAGAGCUUCAGAGCGACACCCGGGGAAGUGAAACAUCUCAGUACCCGGAGGAGUAGAAAUCAAUAGAGAUUCCGCAAGUAGCGGCGAGCGAACGCGGAACAGCCCAAACCAAUGUGCUUGCACAUUGGGGUUGCGGGACCACAAUGUGGGAUUGGUAAGGAAUAGUGGAAUACUUCUGGAAAGUUGAACCAUAGAAGGUGAAAGUCCUGUAUACGAAAUUCCAAACCACCCUAGUGGUAUCCCAAGUAGGACGGGACACGUGAAACCCUGUCUGAAUCUGGGGGGCCCACCCUCCAAGGCUAAAUACUAACUGAUGACCGAUAGUGAACCAGUACCGCGAGGGAAAGGUGAAAAGUACCCCUGUUAGGGGAGUGAAAUAGUACCUGAAACCGCCUGCCUACAAACUGUGGGAGCUCUUCGGAGUGACCGCAUGCCUUUUGCAUAAUGAGUCCGCGAGUUACGAUAUGUGGCAAGGUUAAGUCUUAAGGACGUAGCCGAAGCGAAAGCGAGUGUUAACUGCGCGUUGAGUCGCAUGUCGUAGACCAGAAACCGAGUGAGCUACCCAUGGCCAGGGUGAAUCCACUGUAACAGGUGGGGGAGGCCCGAACCAUUGCAUGCUGAAAAAUGCUUGGAUGAGCUGUGGGUUGGAGUGAAAGGCUUACCAAACUCGGUGAUAGCUGGUUCUACUCGAAAUAGCUUUAGGGCUAGCCUCACGUGGUAACGGUUGGAGGUAGAGCACUGACUGGAUGAUGGCCCUUACCGGGGUACUGACGCCAUUCAAACUCCGAAUGCCAGCCGUGAAAUCGUGGGAGUCAGACUGCGGGGGAUAAGCUCCGUAGUCGAAAGGGAAACAGCCCAGACCGCCAGCUAAGGCCCCAAAAGCAAGCUAAGUGACUAAGGAUGUGGGAUUGCAUAGACAGCUAGGAUGUUGGCUUAGAGGCAGCCACCAUUUAAACAGUGCGUAAUAGCUGACUAGUCGAGUGAUUCUGCGCCGAAAAUGAUCGGGACUAAGCUUGCUGCCGACGCUGCGGAUGCGUCUAUCUUCGGAUAGAUGCGUGGUAGAGUAGCGUUCUAUAUGGAUUGAAGCGUAAGGGGAACCGAACGUGGACUGUAUAGAAGUGAUUAUGCGGACAUGAGUAACGAAAAGUAGGGUGAGAAUCCCUACCGCCGAAAUCCUAAGGUUUCCUGGGGAAGGUUCGUCCUCUCAGGGUUAGUCGGUCCCUUAGCCGAGGCCGAAAGGCGUAGGUGAUGGAAAAUCAGUUCAAUAUUCUGAUACCACGGAAUCAGCACUUGAGCAAUGGAGUGACGCAGGAGGAUAGGCCAGCCGUCGAUUGGAAGUGACGGUCUAAGCACGUAGGGGGUUCUGGCAGGUAAAUCCACCGGAACAUAUUCCCUGAAAUGCGAUGGGACGCAGAUUCUUCGGAUGAUGCGGAUUGGUUGAUUCCAUGCUGCCAAGAAAAACUUCUAGCGAGUUGAUUCGGUGACCGUACCUAAACCGACACAGGUGGGAGGGUAGAGUAUACCAAGGCGCGCGAGAGAAACCACGUUAAGGAAUUCGGCAAAUUAGCCCCGUAACUUCGGGAUAAGGGGUCCCUUUGGUUGUGAUCAUUUAUGUGAGCAAUCGGAGGGCGCAGUGAAAUGGCCCAGGCGACUGUUUACCAAAAACAUAGCACUCUGCUAACUCGUAAGAGGAUGUAUAGAGUGUGACACGUGACCAAUGCCGAAAGGUUAAGGCAAGGGGUGAGAGCUCCGACCCGAAGCCCCCUGGUGAAUGUCGGCCGUAACUAUAACGGUCCUAAGGUAGCGAAAUUCCUUGUCGGGUAAGUUCCGACCUGCACGAAUCGUGUAACGAUCUGGGCGCUGUCUCAACGAGGAUCUCGGUGAAGUUGUAAUUCCGGUGAAGAUGCCGGAUACCCGCAGUAGGACGGAAAGACCCCGUGAACCUUUACUGUAUUCUGACAUUGGGGUUUGGUUUAUCAUGUGUAGCAUAGCUGGGAGACUUCGAAGUCAUCUCGUCAGGGAUGGUGGAGUCAACAGUGAAAUACCAGUCUUGAUAAGGCGAGCUUCUAACCCUGAUCCGUGAAUCCGGGUGGGGGACAAUGUCAGAGGGUCAGUUUGACUGGGGCGGUUUCCUCCCAAAUUGUAACGGAGGAGUUCGAAGGUACACUCAGCAUGGUCAGUAAUCAUGCGUAAUUACUAAUACCUUCAACAGGUUAAGAUAAAAAGAUUUUGUGUACAGCUUAAAGGUCGAGCACUAUUUGUUUCGACUUGGCGCGCGAUACACAGACGCACAUAUAUUCAUUGCUGGCUUUUUCUUCAUCAGAAAGUAUCUCGUCGCGAUGAUCAGGAUCACCUUCUAAAACACC